AGGGUUUGAUUAUGGCUCAGGAUGAACGCUGGCGGCGUGCCUAAUACAUGCAAGUCGAACGCAGUCCUUCGGGACUGAGUGGCGAACGGGUGAGUAAAAGAUAAGGAACCUGGCUUCUGAAGGGGGAUAGCGUCUGGAAACGGACGGUAAAACCGCGUAGGCAGCAUUAACACAUGUUGGAGCUGUUAGAUAUGCUAGUGCAUAGACAGAAGAUGGCCUUAUCACGCAUUAGCUAGUUGGUGAGGUAAAGGCCCACCAAGGCGACGAUGCGUAGCCGGCCUGAGAGGGCGGACGGCCACACUGGGACUGAGACACGGCCCAG
This 322-nucleotide ribosomal RNA is filed under the name uncultured bacterium. RNAcentral describes it as "bacterial SSU rRNA". It matches the Rfam family "Bacterial small subunit ribosomal RNA", at positions 8 to 334 of the family's 1533-position model. The record is from RNAcentral.